GACGAACGCUGGCGGUAUGCUUAACACAUGCAAGUCGAACGAGAAGUCUUUUAUUGAACCUUCGGGGGAUAUAAGAGACAGACAGUGGCGAACGGGUGAGUAACGCGUGGGCAACCUACCUAUCGGAGCGGGAUAGCCUCGAGAAAUCGGGAGUAAAACCGCAUAACACGGAUAUAUCGCAUGAUGAAUCCGUCAAAACUCCGGUGCCGAUAGAUGGGCCCGCGUCUGAUUAGCUAGUUGGUAAGGUAAGGGCUUACCAAGGCAACGAUCAGUAGCCGGUCUGAGAGGGCGAACGGCCACACUGGAACUGAGACACGGUCCAGACUCCUACGGGAGGCAGCAGUGGGGAAUAUUGCGCAAUGGGGGCAACCCUGACGCAGCAAUACCGCGUGAGUGAAGAAGGUUUUCGGAUCGUAAAGCUCUGUUAUUGGGGAAGAAGCAGUGACGGUACCCAAUGAGGAAGUCCCGGCUAACUACGUGCCAGCAGCCGCGGUAAUACGUAGGGGACGAGCGUUGUCCGGAAUCACUGGGCGUAAAGGGCGCGUAGGCGGUUUUAUAAGUCAGAUGUGAAAGGUACCGGCUCAACCGGUGACGUGCAUUUGAAACUGUAAGACUUGAGUACUGAAGAGGCAAGCGGAAUUCCUAGUGUAGCGGUGAAAUGCGUAGAUAUUAGGAAGAACACCGGUGNCGAAGGCGGCUUGCUGGGCAGAUACUGACGCUGAGGUGCGAAAGCGUGGGGAGCGAACAGG
This 749-nucleotide ribosomal RNA is filed under the name uncultured Pseudoramibacter sp. RNAcentral's name for it is "bacterial SSU rRNA". It matches the Rfam family "Bacterial small subunit ribosomal RNA", at positions 28 to 776 of the family's 1533-position model. Lineage: Bacteria; Bacillati; Bacillota; Clostridia; Eubacteriales; Eubacteriaceae. The record is from RNAcentral.